AACGAUGGCGCGUGGAAAGCACUCGCUCUGAUUAAGGUAAGAAGGAAAUCGAAGGCACGCGUGUUGUGAUUGGGCAUGAUUCUGCAGGAGGCAAAGUUGUUGAGCACAACCCCAAAAGAAUAACCAAACAAAACUUUAUAUAAAAAAAGAAAAAGAAAAAGAAAGAAAAUGAAGAAGAAAAAAACAAAUAAAAAGACAAAACCUAAUUUCCACCUC
This 216-nucleotide long non-coding RNA is filed under the name Vigna radiata. RNAcentral describes it as "long non-coding RNA (VRAD_LNC002824)". The record is from RNAcentral. Lineage: Eukaryota; Viridiplantae; Streptophyta; Magnoliopsida; Fabales; Fabaceae.